GCGGGCCGCAGGCGUGAGGGCGGGGCGGGGAGGGGAGGCCGGGCCGGGCCAGGCCGCCGGGGCUGAGGGCGGCCGCCGGCUCCCGUGUCCCGGCCGGGCUCGGCUGAGGGCCCAGGGGUGCGGAGCGGAGGGCUGGGUGCGGGGGCUGGGCCGUAGGAAGGCGCGAAGGACCGAAGUCGGGCUUCUGGGAGCGUCUCACGCUUAUGUGUCCUUUGCAUUGCAAGAUUUGUAAUUAUUUCAAAAGAAGAGAACAAACUUGAAAAACCUAGUAAACCUAUGGAGUUAUAUGACUACCGAGUAAAGAAACACAGGAUUCGUGAUCAAAACCAGCGCUAUUCCAGGGAAGGGAAAAACCUGGAUGACAAAAACGAUGAAAGAAACCAAGGAGCAGCAUCAGCCUCAUCUACACAAUGAACAAGAGAAGGAAAAGGUUGCAAGAUCUCUACAGGGAUGCACUCAGCCAGAAGAGUAAACAGUAGUAAAAAAUUAUCUUCCGGGAUCUCCCCGAGAGAUAGAGAUAGAGCUGCUGAAAGCCAGCCACACGAACUGCUGCAGGGUUUGCAACAGCAUCCACAGCUGUGAAACUGGAAAGGGCCAACAGGUCAGUCUGCGUCACUCGAAACACCUUCCCUGUUCUCCAUCUGCUACAGGAACCCCUAUUGCGCAGGUACAUGCUUGGGUAUAAACCCAGCCUGACAACAACCAGGAAGACCCAAAAUACCUAGAUAUUGGGAACCUUUCCUAGUUACCAUGCGGGUUUAACCUUUUGUCCAGUCUUGGCAUUGUGAAGGAAGCCAGGAAAGCAGUUUUUUCGGUUUUAUAGCGUGCUGCCUUCCACUGUGUAACACACUCCAAAGUCUUUUGGGUUUUUUUGACAAACUGCUAGUGUUAGAAAAAAAAUAUAAUAUUGUUAUUCAUUUAGCAAUAGAAGUCAACAAGCUUUUUCAUUAUUGACUGGGAAAUGAAUAUCAAAACCCACAAAUUUUAUGCUUAAACAUGAAAAGUCCAAAGAUGUUAGGUCUUUAUCAAAACAAAUUUUAAGAGACAAAUUUGUGUUCUGCACAGAAAUAGAUUUAUUGAAAAUCUUAAGGAAAACAAUAUAUUAACUAGUUCUGUCUGGCAUGCUAUUAUCAUGAUGUUUGUGAUAAAAAUCAAUUAAUAGGCAAAUCACUAUUUUAUACAUUAACUUCAAAUUUCAUACUCUGACUUCAAUCUCAGGGCUGAUUUAAGAAGUACCUUCACGUGGAACAUAUGCUGGGGAUUUUUUGUAUGUUUGUUAAGGCUAGUGUAAUUAGGGGGUUAAUUAGAAUCUUAAAUGCUUAGUUCACAUGUUGUGAGAUAUGUCUCACUCUAUAAAAAGAACUUUAUGACAUGGGAAAAAAGGGUUGUGUUUUUUUUUUUUCUUUAUAGCUGACAGUCUUGUGAAUUGGCAGCAUGAGAGUCCAAAUGAGAGACUAUAAACAUUUUUAAAUAAGCCGUUUCCAAUUUUCUUUUAUGAUUUGUAAUAAUUGAACUCUCUUGUGUUCUUGACGCUCAUAUUGCCACAAUGUUCCUCAAGCUAUACUUACUGUGUCAGCUACCUCUACGUUAUGGCUAUAAAGGUUGUGUCGAGCUGCAUACAGUAGAAACAAAAUAAA
Molecule: long non-coding RNA, 1637 nt
Filed under: Calidris pugnax (ruff)
Lineage: Eukaryota; Metazoa; Chordata; Aves; Charadriiformes; Scolopacidae
Description: lncRNA (ENSCPUG00000011679.1)
Source: RNAcentral